GCGAAAGCCUGAUGCAGCAACGCCGCGUGAGCGAUGAAGGUCUUCGGAUCGUAAAGCUCUGUCCUCAAGGAAGAAUAUUGACGGUACUUGAGGAGGAAGCCCCGGCUAACUACGUGCCAGCAGCCGCGGUAAUACGUAGGGGGCUAGCGUUAUCCGGAAUUACUGGGCGUAAAGGGUGCGUAGGCGGUCUUGCAAGUCAGAGGUGAAAGGCUACGGCUCAACCGUAGUAAGCCUUUGAAACUGUAGGACUUGAGUGCAGGAGAGGAAAGUGGAAUUCCCAGUGUAGCGGUGAAAUGCGUAGAUAUUGGGAGGAACACCAGUUGCGAAGGCGGCUUUCUGGACUGUAACUGACGCUGAGGCACGAAAGCGUGGGGAGCGAACAGGAUUAGAUACCCUGGUAGUCCACGCCGUAAACGAUGAGUACUAGGUGUCGGGGGUUACCCCCCUCGGUGCCGCAGCUAACGCAUUAAGUACUCCGCCUGGGAAGU
This 488-nucleotide ribosomal RNA is filed under the name uncultured bacterium. RNAcentral describes it as "bacterial SSU rRNA". It matches the Rfam family "Bacterial small subunit ribosomal RNA", at positions 375 to 881 of the family's 1533-position model. The record is from RNAcentral.